AUUGUUUUUGGGGUUUUUUUUGGCUCGGAAGAACGGUAGUGUGUGUUCUUAUUAGCUUAAUAUCUGUAUCUGUUCUGGUAAAUAUUAAAGGCAUUUUUUGGAAGCAGGAGUUGGUAGUGGGAGCUUGCUCCAUCUUGCACUCAUAGACCUGGUAUGGUAGUAUUUCCAGGAACGAUAGUGCGCUU
Small nuclear RNA from Macaca mulatta (Rhesus monkey), 185 nucleotides. Its record names the gene U2. It matches the Rfam family "U2 spliceosomal RNA". From Rfam's summary of the family: U2 is a small nuclear RNA (snRNA) component of the spliceosome (involved in pre-mRNA splicing). Complementary binding between U2 snRNA (in an area lying towards the 5' end but 3' to hairpin I) and the branchpoint sequence (BPS) of the intron results the bulging out of an unpaired adenosine, on the BPS, which initiates a nucleophilic attack at the intronic 5' splice site, thus starting the first of two transesterification reactions that mediate splicing. Lineage: Eukaryota; Metazoa; Chordata; Mammalia; Primates; Cercopithecidae. The record is from Ensembl.